CAACAACAACAACAACAACAACAGCAGCGGUGGAGGUGGACAGGUGGAGGUGGGGAGGGAAAGGCCAAAACGUCAAGCUACAGGCAGUCAAAACAAGUGACCACAGGGGAUGUGACUGUCGCGGAUGGAGACUUAUGACGAUGCACAAAAAGAUAACCAGGAAGCUCUCCUUGGACCCUGGGAGGAUUAGAUAUCUCCUGCCAUUUGUCGCCUAGUCUCCCAUCUUCCCAUUGCUCAAGCUGCCAACAUCUCCUCGGCGUAACCUUCCAUCAACUUAUGGGGCCAGGUCAUUUUGGAUAAAGAGGGAUGAGAAUGUGGUCACUUUACCUCCCUGCAAACUUGCUGUCAUCCCCGUGGAAAACUGAUUCCUUGGCUGCCUGCGACCAAUGAAACAACCAGGAACAGCUCUGAUAACCUCCUUCAUCCACAUUGUGGUCUUUCUUUCACCAUCCAUUACAAGUGUGUGACAGGUUCCAGACGGGUUGAGAGGGGAGAACAAUGUGUUGUGACCCUCAGUCCUGCCCUCCAGCUCAGCGCCUGGUUCCAACUCCUACUCCCAGCAGGCCGUGGGGGGCCUGGCCGCCGCCCUUCUACCCAGCUCCCUCUCCACCCCUCCUCCACCACCAGAAUCAAUCGCUCUGCGACACCAUACAAACGAUCCACUGAUGUCCAUGCAUCACAGUACAAUGCACGACCAACAACCAGCAAUUUGUGUAGGACUGAGAGAGAGGGAGCGAGACUAAGAUGGAGAGUUAUUACAGUAACAUGGACAAAUGGAGUGAGGCAUCCCACACGAAGGAGGCCAUAUAAAGUCCAACCCACCUGGUGAUGAACCUGAUCUCUCUGAAAUAGGCUCCUGUCUAA
Long non-coding RNA from Sander lucioperca (pikeperch), 864 nucleotides. RefSeq lists it as uncharacterized. The transcript has 6 exons. Lineage: Eukaryota; Metazoa; Chordata; Actinopteri; Perciformes; Percidae. The record is from RefSeq and is a predicted model, not a curated record.